UGAGAUGGGUUUUGACACAGAGACUAGUAGAUCUCUGUUUGACAAGCGUUGGAGUUUUCCACGAGAGUUUUCUGUCAAUUAAUCUUGUUCAAAAGUCGUUAUUUAAUUGCCAGUUUCUUGUGAGUCAAACGAAAUACGUCAAUGGCUGCGGAAGAAAAUUACGAGCAGUUCGAAGAUGAGGAGACGGAGAUUCCGAUCGGAGGAACGCUUCCGGGUGGAAGAAAACGGUUAUUUUCAAAGGAGCUCCGUUGCAUGAUGUACGGAUUUGGCGAUGACCAAAAUCCAUACACCGAAAGCGUUGACUUUCUGGAAGAUUUGGUGAUCGAAUUCAUCACCGAAAUGACCCACAGGGCAAUGGAAAUUGGACGCACAGGCAGAGUGCAAGUCGAAGACAUUGUCUUCCUUGUGAGGAAAGAUUCUAGAAAAUACGCCAGAGUUAAGGAUCUGCUGACAAUGAAUGAGGAGCUUAAAAAAGCAAGGAAAGCCUUUGACGAAGUGAAAUACGCAGGUACUGUCAAUCAGUAGGAAACCGGUUGAUUGAUAUUAUCAAGUAAAAACAAAAAUAUCAUUGGUAGAGAAUAACAUCGUGCGGUGAAAAGAAAUACCUUGGUUAAAGAAGGAGAAGGAAAUGUGUAAAAAUACUUGUAUGGGCGCAAAUCAACUAUGAGAAUGGUCUGCCAAUUGCAAUUUUCUGCAAUUUUCAAUUGGGCUUUGACACAGCCUAUUUAAUAUCACUGCGACAUGAUCAUCGAAUUCCAGACUGCAACCAGAUUCUCGAUUUUAACGGAGUGAUAUGUUUGAUGCAGUACAGAGUGAGUUUCUUGACUUGUUGAAGAAUAAUUCAUCUCCGUAUGUAUGUACAUAUAUUUAUGUGUCUAUUUGUGAUAACUGGAUUGAAUUUAUUUGUACAUUCAUGUAACUUGCUCAGGAUUUUACCAAUAAUCAAUGUAUGGGCGUUGUA
RNAcentral lists this unclassified non-coding RNA (961 nucleotides) under Neodiprion pinetum (white pine sawfly). RNAcentral describes it as "transcription initiation factor TFIID subunit 13, transcript variant X3". Lineage: Eukaryota; Metazoa; Arthropoda; Insecta; Hymenoptera; Diprionidae. The record is from RNAcentral.